ACCCGCACACAGACGGUUGGCAGAGGAAGAAAGCCUUGUCACACUAAAGGAGAGACAGCGGAUGUUCUGAACAGUCCUGUCGUGAAACGUUAGACAACGUGGACGAAACAGGCACAUUCCUAAGCAUCACACAUUACUGAAACUCAGUCAAGAAGAAAUAGAAAAUCUGAAUACAUCCAUGGCAAGCACAGAAACUGAACUAGGGGAUUCGAAAUCUUCCCACAAAGAAAAGCCUAGGCCCAACUGGCCUCUAUGCUUUGAAGAUGCAAGUGGGGACCAUGAGCCAAGCAGUGUGACAGGCUCUAAGAAGCUGGGAAUGUCUGUCAGCUGACAGUCAAUAAGAAUUUGAGGACCUUCUUCUUGCACCCACAGUAAAUUCAUUUCUGCCAACAAACUGAAUGAGAUUGUCCCCUAGAGCCUCCAGAAAGGAACACAGCUUACUGUCAUGUUUAUUUUAGUUUGGUGAAACCCAACCCAGACUUUCCAUCUAUGGACCUAUAAUUAAAAUAGUUUGGGGGCAUUCUUAGUCCACAAAUUUAGUCCAAAUUUAAUAACAAAUUUGUGUUACUUUA
This 572-nucleotide long non-coding RNA is filed under the name Homo sapiens (human). Its description in RNAcentral is "novel transcript". Lineage: Eukaryota; Metazoa; Chordata; Mammalia; Primates; Hominidae. The record is from RNAcentral.